GCUUACGGCCAUAUCAGCCUGGGUACUCCCGAUCUCGUCUGAUCUCGGAAGCUAAGCAGGGUCGGGCCUGGUUAGUACUUGGUUGGGAGACCACCUGGGAAUACCAGGUGCUGUAAGCA
Molecule: ribosomal RNA, 119 nt
Filed under: Salmo salar (Atlantic salmon)
Lineage: Eukaryota; Metazoa; Chordata; Actinopteri; Salmoniformes; Salmonidae
Source: RNAcentral